GUGCACUCAGUGCUUGUCUUGCUGCUAUAGUCUGCUCACCGGAACAACCGCCUCUGCGCCCUCUUGGAAGUUCUGCUGGAGAUUGGGCCUCUGUCAUCAUAAAAAGUGUUCUUGAGAGAGUGACGGAGCUUUUUACUGACCGCAAUUCUGCUAGUAAUUACAGCAUGGCUAAUCGAGCGCUAUGGCAGGCAUCAUUUGAUUCUUUCUUUGGACUUCUUACUCGGUACUGC
Molecule: unclassified non-coding RNA, 230 nt
Filed under: Hevea brasiliensis (rubber tree)
Lineage: Eukaryota; Viridiplantae; Streptophyta; Magnoliopsida; Malpighiales; Euphorbiaceae
Source: RNAcentral